AUGGAGUCUGUGCUCAGCUGGGUUUUCCUUGUCACUAUUUUAAAAGGUGUCCAGGGCGAGGUGCAGCUGGUGGAGUCUGGGGGAGACCUUGUGAAGCCUGAGGGGUCCCUGAGACUCUCCUGUGUGGCCUCUGGAUUCACCUUCAGUAGCUUCUACAUGAGCUGGUUCUGCCAGGCUCCAGGGAAGGGGCUACAGUGGGUUGCAGAAAUUAGCAGUAGUGGAAGUAGCACAAGCUACGCAGACACUGUGAAGGGCCGAUUCACCAUCUCCAGAGACAAUGCCAAGAACACGCUGUAUCUGCAGAUGAACAGCCUGAUAGCCGAGGACAUGGCCGUAUAUUACUGUGCAAGGUACACAAACAUGGACAUGACGUCCCACAAAAAGGCUCACUGUUCCUCCUACACAGAUUCAAUACCCAUGCUGCUGGACGCUAUGUCCUAUCACAUGAGGCAGGACACUGAUGAGGAUUGA
Non-coding RNA from Canis lupus familiaris (dog), 471 nucleotides. NCBI's taxonomy places the organism in Eukaryota, Metazoa, Chordata, Mammalia, Carnivora, Canidae. The record is from the annotation of a RefSeq genome assembly.